GAGCUUGCUCCUCUGACGUUGGCGGCGGACGGGUGAGUAACACGUGGAUAACCUACCUAUAAGACUGGGAUAACUUCGGGAAACCGGAGCUAAUACCGGAUAAUAUAUUGAACCGUAUGGUUCAAUAGUGAAAGACGGUUUUGCUGUCACUUAUAGAUGGAUCCGCGCCGCAUUAGCUAGUUGGUAAGGUAACGGCUUACCAAGGCAACGAUGCGUAGCCGACCUGAGAGGGUGAUCGGCCACACUGGAACUGAGACACGGUCCAGACUCCUACGGGAGGCAGCAGUAGGGAAUCUUCCGCAAUGGGCGAAAGCCUGACGGAGCAACGCCGCGUGAGUGAUGAAGGUCUUCGGAUCGUAAAACUCUGUUAUUAGGGAAGAACAAAUGUGUAAGUAACUAUGCACGUCUUGACGGUACCUAAUCAGAAAGCCACGGCUAACUACGUGCCAGCAGCCGCGGUAAUACGUAGGUGGCAAGCGUUAUCCGGAAUUAUUGGGCGUAAAGCGCGCGUAGGCGGUUUUUUAAGUCUGAUGUGAAAGCCCACGGCUCAACCGUGGAGGGUCAUUGGAAACUGGAAAACUUGAGUGCAGAAGAGGAAAGUGGAAUUCCAUGUGUAGCGGUGAAAUGCGCAGAGAUAUGGAGGAACACCAGUGGCGAAGGCGACUUUCUGGUCUGUAAC
This 679-nucleotide ribosomal RNA is filed under the name uncultured Staphylococcus sp. RNAcentral describes it as "bacterial SSU rRNA". It matches the Rfam family "Bacterial small subunit ribosomal RNA", at positions 76 to 740 of the family's 1533-position model. Lineage: Bacteria; Bacillati; Bacillota; Bacilli; Caryophanales; Staphylococcaceae. The record is from RNAcentral.